RNAcentral lists this unclassified non-coding RNA (170 nucleotides) under uncultured fungus. RNAcentral describes it as "sequence contains ITS1". The stretch from base 1 to 107 matches the Rfam family "5.8S ribosomal RNA", at positions 50 to 154 of the family's 154-position model. Rfam says of the family: 5.8S ribosomal RNA (5.8S rRNA) is a component of the large subunit of the eukaryotic ribosome. It is transcribed by RNA polymerase I as part of the 45S precursor that also contains 18S and 28S rRNA. The record is from RNAcentral. Lineage: Eukaryota; Fungi.
GAAAUGCGAUACUUGGUGUGAAUUGCAGAAUCCCGUGAACCAUCGAGUCUUUGAACGCAAGUUGCGCCCGAAGCCAUUAGGCCGAGGGCACGCCUGCCUGGGUGUCACACAUCGUUUCCCCAAAUCAAACAUACGACCUCAGAGUAGGCGAGAUUACCCGCUAAAUUUAA